AAAGUCCAGUUAUGGAAGGAGAAGCUAGAUCCACCAUAUAGCGAGUCUUGUGCUGCUGAAGGUAACGACAGUAGUAAAGCGUAGAGCGAAAUAUUCGAGCUGAAACCAAAUGGUGAACGUGAUAGCACUGAAAGUGAGGUGUAGUGGAAGCCGAUAUGUUCUAGCCCAUAGUAGGCAAAAGAAGAUUGGAGGUCAAACUAGUGAAAAUCCAAAAAUUUUCAACCACCGGGUUCGCAGGCGU
Non-coding RNA from Orientia tsutsugamushi str. Gilliam, 241 nucleotides. NCBI's taxonomy places the organism in Bacteria, Pseudomonadati, Pseudomonadota, Alphaproteobacteria, Rickettsiales, Rickettsiaceae. The record is from Rfam.